RNAcentral lists this ribosomal RNA (490 nucleotides) under uncultured bacterium. RNAcentral's name for it is "partial 16S ribosomal RNA". It matches the Rfam family "Bacterial small subunit ribosomal RNA", at positions 28 to 507 of the family's 1533-position model. The record is from RNAcentral.
GAUGAACGCUAGCGAUAGGCUUAACACAUGCAAGUCGAGGGGCAGCAUGGUCUUAGCUUGCUAAGACUGAUGGCGACCGGCGCACGGGUGCGUAACGCGUAUGCAACUUGCCUCACAGAGGGGGAUAACCCGUCGAAAGACGGACUAAUACCGCGUACACUCCAUCUUGGGCAUCCAAGGUAGAGGAAAUGAAAUUCGCUGUGAGAUAGGCAUGCGUCCCAUUAGCUAGUUGGUGAGGUAACGGCUCACCAAGGCGACGAUGGGUAGGGGAACUGAGAGGUUGAACCCCCACACUGGUACUGAGACACGGACCAGACUCCUACGGGAGGCAGCAGUGAGGAAUAUUGGUCAAUGGGCGAGAGCCUGAACCAGCCAAGUUGCGUGAAGGAUGACUGUCUUAUGGAUUGUAAACUUCUUUUAUACGGGAAUAACAAGAGUCACGUGUGACUCCCUGCACGUACCGUAUGAAUAAGCAUCGGCUAACUCCGUG